RNAcentral lists this ribosomal RNA (440 nucleotides) under uncultured bacterium. RNAcentral describes it as "partial 16S ribosomal RNA". It matches the Rfam family "Bacterial small subunit ribosomal RNA", at positions 338 to 795 of the family's 1533-position model. The record is from RNAcentral.
CCUACGGGAGGCAGCAGUGGGGGAUAUUGCACAAUGGGGGGAACCCUGAUGCAGCGACGCCGCGUGGGUGAAGAAGCGCCUCGGCGCGUAAAGCCCUGUCAGCAGGGAAGAAAAUGACGGUACCUGAAGAAGAAGCCCCGGCUAACUACGUGCCAGACGCCGCGGUAAUACGGAGGAGGCAAGCGUUAUCCGGAUUUACUGGGUGUAAGGGGGGCGGAGACGGGGAUGCAAGCCAGGGGUGAAAGCCCGGGGCCCAACCCCGGGACUGCUCUUGGAACUGCGUGGCUGGAGUGCAGGAGGGGCAGGCGGAAUUCCUGGUGUAGCGGUGAAAUGCGUAGAUAUCAGGAGGAACACCGGUGGCGAAGGCGGCCUGCUGGACUGCAACUGACGUUGAGGCCCGAAAGCGUGGGGAGCAAACAGGAUUAGAUACCCCUGUAGUC